Molecule: transfer RNA, 64 nt
Filed under: Candidiopotamon okinawense
Lineage: Eukaryota; Metazoa; Arthropoda; Malacostraca; Decapoda; Potamidae
Description: tRNA-Asn
Source: RNAcentral
UUGAUAGAAGCCAAAAAGAGGUUUAUCACUGUUAAUGAUAUAAUUGAAUGGACUUCCUAUCAAC